This 414-nucleotide ribosomal RNA is filed under the name uncultured microorganism. RNAcentral's name for it is "bacterial SSU rRNA". It matches the Rfam family "Archaeal small subunit ribosomal RNA", at positions 459 to 872 of the family's 1478-position model. The record is from RNAcentral.
CAGCCGCCGCGGUAAUACCGGCGGCCCGAGUGGCGGUCACUAUUAUUGGGCUUAAAGCGUCCGUAGCCGGGUUGGGAAGUCCUCCGGGAAAUCUGGCCGCUUAACGGUCAGAAUGCCGGAGGAUACUCCCAGCCUAGGGAGCGGGAGAGGCCGAGGGGAUUCCCGGGGUCGGGGUGAAAUCCUAUAAUCCCGGGAGGACCACCUGUGGCGAAGGCGCUCGGCUGGAACGCGUCCGACGGUGAGGGACGAAGGCCAGGGGAGCAAACCGGAUUAGAUACCCGGGUAGUCCUGGCUGUAAACGAUGCGGACUUUGUGUCGGACAAGCUAUGAGCUUGUCCGGUGCCGGAGGGAAACCGUUAAGUCCGCCGCCUGGGGAGUACGGCCGCAAGGCUGAAACUUAAAGGAAUUGGCGGG